This 253-nucleotide ribosomal RNA is filed under the name uncultured bacterium. RNAcentral's name for it is "partial 16S ribosomal RNA". It matches the Rfam family "Bacterial small subunit ribosomal RNA", at positions 524 to 776 of the family's 1533-position model. The record is from RNAcentral.
UACGAGGGGUGCAAGCGUUGCUCGGAAUUAUUGGGCGUAAAGGGUAGGUAGGUGGUCUCAUUUGUCUGGGGUGAAAGCCUCGAGCUUAACUCGAGAAGUGCCUCGGAAACGGUGAGACUAGAGUCUUGGAGAGGGUCGUGGAAUUCCCGGUGUAGCGGUGAAAUGCGUAGAGAUCGGAAAGAACACCAACGGCGAAAGCACUCUGCUGGGCCGACACUGACACUGAGAGACGAAAGCUAGGGGAGCGAAUGGG